Molecule: ribosomal RNA, 699 nt
Filed under: Streptomyces sp. SR-87
Lineage: Bacteria; Bacillati; Actinomycetota; Actinomycetes; Kitasatosporales; Streptomycetaceae
Description: bacterial SSU rRNA
Rfam family: Bacterial small subunit ribosomal RNA
Source: RNAcentral
UCGAACGAUGAAGCCCUUCGGGGUGGAUUAGUGGCGAACGGGUGAGUAACACGUGGGCAAUCUGCCCUUCACUCUGGGACAAGCCCUGGAAACGGGGUCUAAUACCGGAUAACACCGGCUUCCGCAUGGNAGCUGGUUAAAAGCUCCGGCGGUGAAGGAUGAGCCCGCGGCCUAUCAGCUUGUUGGUGGGGUAAUGGCCUACCAAGGCGACGACGGGUAGCCGGCCUGAGAGGGCGACCGGCCACACUGGGACUGAGACACGGCCCAGACUCCUACGGGAGGCAGCAGUGGGGAAUAUUGCACAAUGGGCGAAAGCCUGAUGCAGCGACGCCGCGUGAGGGAUGACGGCCUUCGGGUUGUAAACCUCUUUCAGCAGGGAAGAAGCGAAAGUGACGGUACCUGCAGAAGAAGCGCCGGCUAACUACGUGCCAGCAGCCGCGGUAAUACGUAGGGCGCAAGCGUUGUCCGGAAUUAUUGGGCGUAAAGAGCUCGUAGGCGGCUUGUCACGUCGGGUGUGAAAGCCCGGGGCUUAACCCCGGGUCUGCAUCCGAUACGGGCAGGCUAGAGUGUGGUAGGGGAGAUCGGAAUUCCUGGUGUAGCGGUGAAAUGCGCAGAUAUCAGGAGGAACACCGGUGGCGAAGGCGGAUCUCUGGGCCAUUACUGACGCUGAGGAGCGAAAGCGUGGGGAGCGAACAGGAU